This 72-nucleotide transfer RNA is filed under the name Triticum urartu. It matches the Rfam family "tRNA". From Rfam's summary of the family: Transfer RNA (tRNA) molecules are approximately 80 nucleotides in length. Their secondary structure includes four short double-helical elements and three loops (D, anti-codon, and T loops). Lineage: Eukaryota; Viridiplantae; Streptophyta; Magnoliopsida; Poales; Poaceae. The record is from Rfam by way of RNAcentral.
UCCUCAGUAGCUCAGUGGUAGAGCGGUCGCCUAUUAACUGAUUGGUCGUAGGUUCGAAUCCUACUUGGGGAG